AUUUAUAUAAUAUAAGCCCAUUAUAUUUGAUUUCCAAUCAAAAAAUCUAAUAUUAGUAUAAAUA
Molecule: transfer RNA, 64 nt
Filed under: Trigonopterus sp. 8 AH-2016
Lineage: Eukaryota; Metazoa; Arthropoda; Insecta; Coleoptera; Curculionidae
Description: tRNA-Gly
Source: RNAcentral